Eriocheir sinensis (Chinese mitten crab) is the source of this 673-nucleotide long non-coding RNA. RefSeq lists it as uncharacterized. The record is from RefSeq and is a predicted model, not a curated record. The transcript is spliced from 2 exons. NCBI's taxonomy places the organism in Eukaryota, Metazoa, Arthropoda, Malacostraca, Decapoda, Varunidae.
AGAGGUUAUCAGGCUGCUCGGGUGAUAAGCUAUCAGACAAGAGGCCGGUAUCACUGCGAUAAGAUAGAUAUGUAUGUAUUGUUUACGGGCACAAACGUAUAUUAGAAGAUAGGUGGAGAUAAGGCACCAUUGUGAGGCGGCAACGAGUUGAGUUCUACCGAUAAUAGACGAGAUGCUAUCGAGGAGGUGGUACCGAGGCGUCCCUGGGUGCGGGAGUGAGUGCGUGGCUCCAGGGGGAGGCACACAUCCCAAGCCUACCCCGCUGACAGAAGGGGGUGCCGCAAGGGAACUGCUGUCGGCCGCCCCUCACCACGCCGAGGCCUGACACCGGUCUCGGGCCGCCGCUACGAUGUUCUGUCUUCAUCCGUCCCCGAGCUGCCAGCAUGGGCGUCCGUGAGCCCCGGGGAGUUGCAGUGCCGGCCUGACCGGACGCCACACGCCCCAACGACCAAUUUUACGACUGUGCAACUCACUAACGUCUUGUUCACGCAGUGUGACUCACAUCAGUGCUCGCCCCUCGCCGAACCAGAAUCCCCUUUCGCCUGGCUGGGUUAUCGUGAGGCUCGGAAGUGACUGUGACAGGCCAUGCCGGGCACGCUUCUCGUCACUGUCUGGGAAAAGCGUGCAUCAUAUAAUACUAAAAUGAAAGAGGAAUAAACAAAUAUAUUUCAUC